RNAcentral lists this transfer RNA (64 nucleotides) under Anatolica potanini. RNAcentral describes it as "tRNA-Thr". It matches the Rfam family "tRNA". Rfam says of the family: Transfer RNA (tRNA) molecules are approximately 80 nucleotides in length. Lineage: Eukaryota; Metazoa; Arthropoda; Insecta; Coleoptera; Tenebrionidae. The record is from RNAcentral.
GUUUUUGUAAUUUAAAAAAAAUAUUAGUCUUGUAAACUAAAAAUAAGUCCCAACUUUAAAAACA